This 360-nucleotide transfer-messenger RNA is filed under the name Pseudoneobacillus rhizosphaerae. RNAcentral's name for it is "Standard tmRNA". It matches the Rfam family "transfer-messenger RNA". From Rfam's summary of the family: Bacterial tmRNA, also known as 10Sa RNA or SsrA, is named for its dual tRNA and mRNA-like properties. Its role is to liberate the mRNA from a stalled ribosome. The record is from Rfam by way of RNAcentral. Lineage: Bacteria; Bacillati; Bacillota; Bacilli; Caryophanales; Bacillaceae.
GGGGACGCUACGGAUUCGACAGGGGUAGUUCGAGCUUGGGUGGCGAGUCGAGGGGAUCGGCCUCGUUAAAACGUCAACGCCUAUAACUGGCAAAACUAACAACAACUUAGCUUUCGCAGCUUAAUACUGCAUAGCUGUUCGCCCCUCCAUCGCCUAUGUGGUAGGGUAGCGGACUCACUCUAAGUAGGCUACGCCGGAGUCCACCGCCUGAGGACGAAGGAAGAGAACAACCAGGCUAGCUGGCCGGGCGCCUGUCGAUAGGCAGAUGGAUUUAGCGAAACGCGAAUAUGUCGACUACACUCGUAGAAGCUUAAGUGCCGAUAUCUUUGGACGUGGGUUCGACUCCCACCGUCUCCACCA